AGAUUGAGAAGUCACUGCAGAAACAUGGUGGUCGGCUGGAACAUUAUGAGACUUACUGUGGUUCUUGUUAUGGUGCUGAAGCGGAAGAGCAUGACUGCUGCAAUUCAUGUGAGGAUGUUGGUGAAGCAUAUAGAAAAAAAGGGUGGGGUGUUACAAAUCCAGAUUUGAUUGAUCAGGUAAAUUGUUGAGAGAUAUGUUGCUCACCUUUUAAAUUCUCCGCAACUGCGUGUUUUUAUCACGUAUUUGCAUUUUUUUUUCAAUUCAUUUCUUCUUCAUCUUUCUCUAUGUUAGAGCCUCAGUGGCUUGUGUGCGGUCUGUUUAUUUGGUAUGAUGUGGGGCUCUAACCUUGACAUA
Molecule: long non-coding RNA, 354 nt
Organism: Raphanus sativus (radish)
Lineage: Eukaryota; Viridiplantae; Streptophyta; Magnoliopsida; Brassicales; Brassicaceae
Exons: 2
Source: RefSeq, a predicted model, not a curated record